Molecule: ribosomal RNA, 421 nt
Filed under: uncultured bacterium
Lineage: Bacteria
Description: bacterial SSU rRNA
Rfam family: Bacterial small subunit ribosomal RNA
Source: RNAcentral
AAGGAAUAUUGGACAAUGGUCGCAAGACUGAUCCAGCCAUGCCGCGUGCAGGAAGACGGCCCUAUGGGUUGUAAACUGCUUUUGUACCAGAGAAAACCUAUCUACGUGUAGAUAGCUGAUAGUAUGGUAAGAAUAAGCAUCGGCUAACUUCGUGCCAGCAGCCGCGGUAAGACGAAGGAUGCAAGCGUUAUCCGGAUUCAUUGGGCUUAAAGGGUGCGUAGGCGGGCUUGUAAGUCAGUGGUGAAAUCUCUCAGCUUAACUGAGAAACUGCCAUUGGUACUGCAGACCUAGAGUAUAGAUGACGUUGGCGGAAUAUGACAUGUAGUGGUGAAAUACUUAGAUAUGUCAUAGAACACCGAUUGCGAAGGCAGCUAACGAAACUAUAACUGACGCUGAGGCACGAAAGUGCGGGGAUCAAACA